Molecule: long non-coding RNA, 453 nt
Organism: Aethina tumida (small hive beetle)
Lineage: Eukaryota; Metazoa; Arthropoda; Insecta; Coleoptera; Nitidulidae
Exons: 3
Source: RefSeq, a predicted model, not a curated record
AAAUGUUCUGUUAACCGAUAAUAGGAAUAGGAAUAGGCAUCAACGGUGCGACACGAAUUUAUUUAUCUAUAUAAAAUGAGGAUUCCGAUAAUUUUCCUCAUAUUUCUUCUUUGUGUACCUUUUACACUUUGUGGAACUCGAGACUCUAGUGACUUACAUAAUUGUUCUUACGAACACAGAAGGGAACUUUUAAGAGAACAUUGUGCCACUUUGGACAGAAGAAAAAGAAGGAUAUCAUCCCAUCAUCAAAAAAAUGUUUUCCAUAACACUAUUAACAUGGAUGAUGGGGGGAAGUCGACAUUCACCAAGCUAAAGAAAAGAGCAUUUUUGUGCUGCGGUAACAAGUGUAAAACGUUAUUUAACACUUGCAUAUAACUCAUCACCAUUACCUAUUAAGUAACGAUUAUUAUUAAGUUAUUUUGUAAUUAAAAUAAACCUGAUAAUUACCAAUGA